RNAcentral lists this long non-coding RNA (1413 nucleotides) under Ananas comosus (pineapple). Its description in RNAcentral is "long non-coding RNA (ACOM_LNC021251)". Lineage: Eukaryota; Viridiplantae; Streptophyta; Magnoliopsida; Poales; Bromeliaceae. The record is from RNAcentral.
AAAACACAUACUGAAAGGGGCUGUUUGGUUGCACGCAUUUGCAACUGCAGUGCAGUUGCAAAUGCGUGCAGCCUUAAUUCCUUUGUUUGGUUUAGUGUAGUUGAAUUCAACUGCUGCAGUUCCAACUACACAAGAAGGUCCAAAUGCUGCAGUUGGAACUACAUCCAAAUUGACCGUAGUUCCAACUGCAGCAGUUGGUGAGGGAUAGGAUCACCCACAAAUUAACAAUAAUAAAUAAAUAAAUAAAUAGCUAAAUAAAUAAAUAAUAUAUGUAUAUAGGUAAAUAAAAAUACUUGUAAAUAAACUCAUACUAAUAAAAUUUUUUAGACAAUACAAGCUUUGUGCAAAAAAUUAAAUUUUUUAAAUUUAUUUUAUUUAAAAUAUAAAUAUAGUUUUUUUAAAAAAAUUUUAUAGAAUGUGAUCGUGUAUGUUAAUUUAAUAAGUUUUAAUUAAUUAUAAUUAUUAAAUUUGAUAAAAAAAAUGAGAGAAUCGUUUAAAUUUUAAAGUUUGAUUUACAUAUUAAAAUUAAAUAAAUUAAAAAUUUUAAAUGUGUCGAUUAAUAAGUUGAAGAAUAUUAUAUAUAUCUACUUAUUUAUUUAUAAAUAGUAAAUUUAAAUGAUUAAUAAACUUAUACAAUUAUUUUAUGUUUAGUGAAAGUAAUCUCACCACUCUCUCUGAAAAUGUGAUAAAAUUCACAAAUACAACUAUCAGCUUCAUAUUACCAAACAGAAGAAAUGUAACUGCAGCAGUUGCAACUACGUAAAACCAAACAGACUAGGUGUAGUUACAACUACAGCAUUUGCAACUACAUGUAUUUCCAACUACACUGUUUCUGCAACUACAUCCAACCAAACAGCCCCAAAGAGCACCAUUACUCUACUAUUAUACUUAAUAUAAUAUCAACAUAAGGUAAUUAACUGGCUAAUUACCUUUUCCAAAUUUCAAUUUCAAUUUUUCCCUUAGCUCAGGGUUGAAGGAUCAUCUCCCAAUUCUGCCUCAAAAGUUACUAACCUGCUGUAAUUAGAUUUCAAAACUGCAUCACUACUUCACUUAUACACUUAGUAUAGGCUGAAAUUUUACUUGCAUAGAUUCUCAACUUGAAAUUGCACUUUCCUCAAGUUGAAAUAUAUUCACAAUCAGUUCACGAAAGCGUAUUAUUCAACUCAGAGUGAAUAUGCGAACUGCCGAGAACAUAGACCCCCAAAAUCAGCAUUACUACAUUUUAUAUCUCAUAAAGCAUCAAUCACGUAUUUAAUCAAUCAAUUACCUUCACACAGCUUCACUUUAGUUUUCCCCUGGGUAUAAAUAGAGGAAUUACAGCAAAAUUACCCUUCUCUAGCUGUUGAGACUAUUUCCCAAACCUGCUGAUAAUCAAGGAACCAAAACACAUCACCUUCACUCCCCUAGCUCAAA